RNAcentral lists this ribosomal RNA (253 nucleotides) under uncultured bacterium. RNAcentral describes it as "partial 16S ribosomal RNA". It matches the Rfam family "Bacterial small subunit ribosomal RNA", at positions 524 to 776 of the family's 1533-position model. The record is from RNAcentral.
UACGUAGGGUGCGAGCGUUGUCCGGAAUUAUUGGGCGUAAAGAGCUCGUAGGCGGUUUGUUGCGUCUAUCGUGAAAACCUGCAGCUUAACUGUGGGCUUGCGGUGGAUACGGGCAGACUUGAGUUCGGUAGGGGAGACUGGAAUUCCUGGUGUAGCGGUGAAAUGCGCAGAUAUCAGGAGGAACACCGGUGGCGAAGGCGGGUCUCUGGGCCGAUACUGACGCUGAGGAGCGAAAGCUAGGGGAGCGAACAGG